Anopheles gambiae (African malaria mosquito) is the source of this 840-nucleotide long non-coding RNA. RefSeq lists it as uncharacterized. NCBI's taxonomy places the organism in Eukaryota, Metazoa, Arthropoda, Insecta, Diptera, Culicidae. The record is from RefSeq and is a predicted model, not a curated record. The transcript is spliced from 2 exons.
UCUAGCUUGCGCUGGUCGCCGCCAGAUGCGCUAGUGAAAAUAAAAAUUACACUUGCGAGUACGAUCAAUGUACACACUUAAAAAUAUUUCACGACCUCGGUUAAAAAAACUGCCGAAAUCCGUCGGCUCUUUCGAUUCUUGCUGAUAUGUCAGUUGAAAAAACCCAGUAGCCGAAAAUCAGUACCAUUUAAAACUGAAAUAUCAGUUAAAUAAAUAUUUGAACCGAAACUCGGCAACACAACAUGCCGAGCACAUACGUUAACACUGCUGUCACUGAGAUAAUCCGUCAAAAUAACCGAGAUUUCAGCUUUACUACUUGGAUUAGCCGAGGCUCGGUAUUCUAUCUGUCAUUCGCCAUUCUGUUAAUCUCGUGCUAAUGAAACGAACACCUUUCGGAGUGAUGUUGUGAUGUAAAAUAAAAAAAAUAAAAAAAAAGUGAAAAUGAGUCUCUCAGCGUGAAAAAACGAGAAUCAGUAGCGUGCGAUCGAGCACAGGUAUGGAGCGGGAUUGGGGCUAGGAAACUCCAUCAGCGCACGCAACCGGUGCUCUUCAGAGCGUCGCUCGGAGCAGUCCCUAUUCAAGGAUCAGAUGUGGAAGCUAAUCCGGUUGGUUCAACCUUUGCCAGACCGUUCAAACUUCCAGGAUUCAUUUCCGGUCACCUACACGAGAACCGUGCCUGUACCAGUGCCCGCUCCUUGUCCGGCUCAUUUUCCUGUACCGGUACCACAUCCAAACGCUGUACCCCAUCCGGCGGUUGAAUCGGCGCCUGUCCCAACACUUUCCAUCACAUCAAAAAACCCCAUUUGAUACGCAAAUAAAAUCACUAAAAUAAAAAUAAAA